RNAcentral lists this non-coding RNA (18 nucleotides) under Arabidopsis thaliana (thale cress). Lineage: Eukaryota; Viridiplantae; Streptophyta; Magnoliopsida; Brassicales; Brassicaceae. The record is from RNAcentral.
UUACAGGUGCUGCCGCUG